GAUGAAGAACGCAGCGAAAUGCGAUAAGUAGUGUGAAUUGCAGAAUUCAGUGAAUCAUCGAAUCUUUGAACGCACAUUGCGCCCCUUGAUAUUACAUGGGGCAUGCCUGUUAGAGCGUCAUUUGUACCUUCAAGCUUUGCUUGGUGUUGGGUGUUUGUCUCGCCUUUGCGUGUAGACUCGCCUUAAAAUAAUUGGCAGCCGGCGUAUUGAUUUCGGAGCGCAGUACAUCUCGCGCUUUGCACUCAUAACGACAGCGUCCAAAAGUACAUUUUACACUCUUGACCUCGGAUCAGGUAGGGAUACCCGCUGAACUUAAGCAUAUCAAUAAGCGGAGGA
This 336-nucleotide unclassified non-coding RNA is filed under the name soil metagenome. RNAcentral's name for it is "partial contains 5.8S ribosomal RNA, internal transcribed spacer 2, and large subunit ribosomal RNA". The stretch from base 1 to 120 matches the Rfam family "5.8S ribosomal RNA", at positions 35 to 154 of the family's 154-position model. The record is from RNAcentral.